RNAcentral lists this ribosomal RNA (482 nucleotides) under Clostridiales bacterium. RNAcentral's name for it is "partial 23S ribosomal RNA". It matches the Rfam family "Bacterial large subunit ribosomal RNA", at positions 2447 to 2925 of the family's 2925-position model. The record is from RNAcentral. Lineage: Bacteria; Bacillati; Bacillota; Clostridia; Eubacteriales.
GCUCAACGGAUAAAAGCUACCCUGGGGAUAACAGGCUGAUCUCGCCCAAGAGUUCACAUCGACGGCGAGGUUUGGCACCUCGAUGUCGGCUCAUCGCAUCCUGGAGCUGGAUUCGGUUCCAAGGGUUGGGCUGUCCGCCCAUUAAAGCGGUACGCGAGCUGGGUUCAGAACGUCGUGAGACAGUUCGGUCCCUAUCCAUCGUGGGCGUAGGAAAUUUGAGAGGAGCUGUCCUUAGUACGAGAGGACCGGGAUGGACGUACCAAUGGUCUAUCAGUUGUCGCGCCAGCGGCAUGGCUGAGUAGCCAAGUACGGACGGGAUAAACGCUGAAGGCAUCUAAGCGUGAAGCCCCCCUCAAGAUUAGAUUUCCCAUUCCGAAAGGAAGUAAGACCCCUUGAAGACUACAAGGUUGAUAGGUCAGAGGUGGAAGUGCAGUAAUGUAUGAAGCUGACUGAUACUAAUAGGUCGAGGGCUUGAUCAAUAA